AAUGUGGAGAGUAAAUUGGGGGGAUUUGAUCAAAACAAAUGUGUAAAGCCAAGAAGAGUAAAAGGUCAUACAUUAAAAUGAGAGAUUCGUGGAUCAUAAUACAAACCUUUGAGUACACUAUGAAUUUCCAAGGUUUUUCUGUUUAUCGGAGCCAUUUUAAAGCUCUGCCAUGGUAAAUGUGUCCUUGAUAGAUUUUAAUCUGCAAAGAACUUGCGUCAUAUUUAUUCUAUCUUCUGGCAAGUGAAUGGAGCAAGCCAAGCCAACUUUAAGCAAUGAAAUCAAACACUGCUCUAGUAAAUUGCAUUUUGUUUCUCCCAGUGGACUGCUUCUGCUAUUGGCUGCUGUAGUUCUUCUGUGAUCUUCACACAGAAGUACCGGAUCCACAAUGUCCAUCACGCGCUCAGGAAUUGCCAUUUCAACAUAUGUAUGGAGAUCAAGGCCUCCAGUGAACAAAGGAUGUGUAGGCUUCUUCCCUGUCAUCAUCUCCAGCAAUAGGAUUCCGAAGCUGUAGACAUCUCCAUUACUUGAUACCUCUGCACCUAAGCCAUACUCUGCAUUAAUGUUGAAGCUUGUCAGACAGCCAAAGUAUGAAUUGUCAAAAAUAGCUCAGUUUUAAAAUUUGUUGUUUUGUAUAUGAUGUUGAAUGAACAUAGGUAAGAAAGAUUAAUUUAAAAAAAUCAGUCAGAUUUGUACUUUCUUACCUGGAGCUACAUAUCCAAUAGUUCCUCUGAUUCCAGCAGAGCUCGUUUCCUGUAAAUUUGGAGCUGAAUGAACAUAUUUUGCCAGCCCAAGAUCUCCAACAUGGGCUGUCAGAUCGCUGUCAAGUAGAAUAUUACUUGGUUUUAGAUCGCAAUGAACAAUCUGCUUGUGGCAAUGGUGAUGUAGAUAAUCAACGGCACAAGCUACAUCAAUAGCAACAUUAAUUCGCUGAAGAAGGUUUGGUAUAGGAAAAAUGUGCUGCUGAUGUUCAUCUGCUCGAUGCAACCAAGUUUCUAGACUGCCGUUGGGCAUGAACUCGUAGAUUACAGCUUUAAAAUCAUUCCCUUGGAAAUCCAGACCUGAGGAAGAACUUAUAAUCUUCACGAGGUUCCGAUGCCGGAUGUUUCUCAUUGCAUCACACUCAGCAAUAAAACUCUUGAAGGCUCCAUGGUGUUGAAGGUUAAAGACUUUGAUAGCCACCGACAAGUUUCCUCCUUCAGUCAGCACUCCUUUGUAUACGGAGCCAGAGCUACCAGCACCAAUUAGAUUUUCUGCAGAGAAACCAUUAGUAGCUUGAACAAGUUGUCUGUAGCUGACUCUCAGGAAGAGUCUGCCUAAGAAGUUUGGUAAUUUUGGUUGGGUCCUUCUCCUUUUAAAUGACCGUAGUCUGAAAAUUGAGAUUGAGGUUACCACUAUCACCAGGAAGGAACUUGUAAUCACCACUGGUAUGAUGAACCUGAGAGGCUUCAUAUUUUUCUUUGACUCUCCCGGAGGGUGGCACUUUGGCAGCUGUAGUUCAGGAAUGCCUCCACAGAGUCUCCUGUUCCCAACAACUGAUACUGCACUAGCAUUUCCAAAAAUACCUUGUCUUGGCACCUCACCCGAGAAAUCAUUGAAGGACAAAUUCAGGGUCUUAAUUGAUAUACUUGCCAUAUAUUGGGGGAUUUGGCCAGAAAAAUUAUUACUAGAAAGGUCAAGAAUUUGGACACUUCUCAAAGAACUAAUGAAUUCAGGAAAAGAUCCCUGGAAAGAGUUACCAGCAAGGGAAAGGAUUUCAAGGCUACUACAACCGCCAAAGGUCCCUGGAAUUUCACCUGACAGGUGAUUUUCUGAAAGAUCCAAUCCAGCUAAAUUUUUCAAGGUGCCGACCUCUGAUGGGAUUGUUCCAGAUAAACUGUUCUGAGAAAGAUUUAAUGAAAUGGACAGGGAAGAUAUCCCAAAAAUCUCUUUUGGUAUCGUACCACUCAAGUUGUUUUGAGAAAGUCCUAGGAGUAACAACUGCUUGCAGUUUCCGAGAGCUGGUGGAAUGGAUCCCUCCAAGUUGUUAUCAUCUAAAUAGAGUUCAUUCAACAGUGAGAGGUUUCCUACAGACUCUGGAAUUUCUCCUGACAAUUUGUUGGAAAUAAGAGCCAGCCGCUGAAGCUUUUGAAGAUAACCAAUUGUACUUGGAACUGUCCCUGUGAGUUGAUUACUUUCAAGAUACAAGGUCUCUAAGCCAAUGAGAUUACCUAAUGUUGAAGGUAUCCCUCCAUAUAUUUGAUUUCCGCCAAGUGACAUAUAGUCUAAGAAUCGGGAUGAUAAGUUGCCGAUACUGUUGGGCAAGACACCCUUUAUUUGGUUGUCUUGUAGGGAAAUUGCGACUAAUUGGCUGCAGUUUGUCAUGGUGCUGAGAAACUGCAAUCCAUCCAGUACUUCCCCACUUCCAAAAUUAUUAUUUGCAGCUAAUAGGGAAAUAAAAUUUUGCAGGCCUCCAAAAUCAACUGCUAUUCUGCCGCUGAAUCCAUUGUGUCCAAUGUCGAUCCAGCCUAGCUCAGAGGCAUUUGACAAAGAGGCUGGAAGUACCCCCCAGAACUGAUUGUCUCUCAACUGGAGAUACUCAAGGCGAGGAAGCAUGAGACCUAAUGCUGAAGGAAGAGUUCCAUGUAGCUGAUUACUUGGCAGAGACAAAACCUCCAGUUGAGAAAGAUUAUAGACAGAAACAGGGAUGUCACCAUUUAGUCUGUUUCCGCCAAAUCCAAUGCCUUUUAGCGUUUUCAACUGACCUAAGGAUUCAGGAAUAUUACCCUCCAAAUGAUUUGCAGCCGCAGAUAGUAAACUCAGGGAAGUAAAAUUCCCCAUGGAAGGAGGGAUAUUUCCUGUAAGGCUAUUGUUUUGAAUAACUAGAGAUUCAAGGUUCCUCAGAGAACCAAAUUCCGGCGGUAUUCUCCCAACUAGGUUAUUGUAGCUUAGGUCAAGAUGCACAAGCUUGGAGCACCGGGAUAGAUUGCCUGGAAUUUCGCCUUCCAGGGAGUCCCAUGACAGAUUCAGUUCCCGCAGCCUGAAGAGAUUUCCAAACUGGGGCGGGAUUCCACCUUGGAAGGUGUUGUUUCUUAGCAUCAACGCACGAAGAAAGCUGAGGUUCCCAAGAAACGGUGACAAGAAGCCAACCAAGCCCCUGCCUUGAAGAUCUAUGCUGGUCACUCUUCUGUGCCUUCGACCGCAUUCGACACCCUCCCAUGAGCAGAAAUGAUGAGAAUCAUUCCACGAGUUCAUGAUCCCAUAAGGGUCAUGCUGUAUUUUUGACUUGAAAUCCAAUAAAGCAACAUGAUCGUGAUGGUCUGCUUCUUUUCUGUCCAUGGUUUUUGUAGAAGCCAUGCUCAGAGGAAGACCUUUGGCAUGUACCUCCAAUGUCAGUAGUGCUAGCACCAGAUAAAUUCUUUUAGUUUCAGGAAUUGAGAUCAGAAAUCUAGCCAUUGUUCAGUGUGGAAAUGUGGAUGUGAUUCCCUUCUCAAGUAGGAAAAUUCUCAGGUAAGUAAACUAGUGAAAAUGGACAAUCAGUACUGUAAGCAUUAUUUAUAAUUUCAUCAGUGACUUCAUAUGUAAAGGACAGAUUCAAGCAUUGACAAAAUUGAGGUUAGAUUCCAGUGAAAAUGUAAGGAAGGUUAGUUAGAGUGACUGAUUGGGACUGAGUUCUUUCAUUAUUUAAAAAGUUACAGAGUAAAUCUUGGUUGAAUAGAGCCAGGUACAACCUAGCUUAGUAAUCAACUACAUUAGGUAAAGUAGAUAUAUAGACACCUCGGAAAGUGCCAAAAACAAGACAGGAACUUGUACUUAAUUAUACUCUGUGAAGUUAGUUAUUGAAUUUGUCAUACUACUAUUAAACAAGUAUAUUAUGUACAUAGGAAAAAUUUUCCAGCAGUAUUUUCCACGUAUCCUAGCUUCGUUUACCACUAUUGGCAGCUAAUCCAUCAACUCUGAUUGGCUAAGUAUGUCGUUGAUUCCAGCAGUAUCUACUUAGUGUGUAUAUAUAUAAGUGUCAGCAGUAUCUACCAAGUUGCGCGACAUCCCUUUCAUUGUUCUACAGUUUCAUUGUAUAAAAUUACUGUCUAUAUAUUUAUACACACCUACCAAAAAGUAGGAAGGUAUACCUAGGAGAAGUUUACAAGUAGAACCAUCUGUGAUGGACAUUGAUGAACACAAGGAACUAGUAUCCCUUGAUGUUUUACUGCAGAAUGUAUAUUACCGCAAAUUUAGUCAAAGAGUUCACAUUUGUGUCUCUGAAUUAUGCUCUUUGCCUCAUGAUUUUGAUCCCCUUUACUGGGGUGUUUGUUCAUGAUGUAGUGUUGGAAUUUUUUGUAUAAAUUUGUUUUACUCGCAAAAUUGCACCAUUAAAGCUUUUUUUUUUUUUUUUUUUUAAAUUGUAGUUACAAGAUGUACUUCAGCAAAAUUGAAUAGAUAUUCAUGUAUGUAGAAAGAAAAUUAAAGGCCCUUAAGUGUUGGUUUAAACACAUGUUAAAGCUUAUUGCUUGAACAAAACUAAUGGUCUCAUGCUUAAGCAAAAGAACAAAAUAUACAGUUGAGGUCCAUUGAAUUUGGCUAGUCUUGAACACUUUAAAUAGAAAUGCUGUUAAAUAUUAUGCAUUUCUGCAUAAUAUCCGAGAUAUUUUACAUAUUGUUAGUAUCACAAACAAUAUUUCAAGUUUCUAUAUAUAUAUAUAUAUAUAUAGUUAGACAGUUAGUAUCACAAACACAUCUUCUAACUACUUUUUUUAUAUUCUUAACUAUCUUUUAAUUUUACAUACAUUAUAUCAUAAAAAAUGCUAGAGUGUUAUUCCAAAUAAUAUUUUCUAACAAUCUCCUAUCCAAAUAUUUUCUUUACAUCUUUCACAUGAAUUCGUCCUGGUUAUAUUAGACAAAUCUUAGUGUUUACAGCAAACUCUUGUAAUUUUUGCUGUAAUUUGAUUAUUUGAUCAUCACAAUUUGUUUGUUUGAAUCAUCAAGAAAAAAUGGAGGUGAUUAGGACUGUUAACUAUUAACAUCAUAGGACUGGCGAUUGAUUACAAAGCUACAUCAUGGUGAAGAGUUUAGGUGGGGGUUCUGAUCAAUCUAUAUUAAUCCCAAUAGGUUUCUUGAGACUAGCCCACUUGAACAAUGUCACUUCACCAAAAGUUGAUUGGCUUAGCUUUGAGAGGUUGAUGUUCUGUAGGAAGGGUGGCUGCGGGUCGGGUACCCGCUCCGUCCACCAUUUGGCUGAUCUGACCCGCACCUUGCGGGUCAACUAUUUUCUGACUUUUAACUGCCUUGUAUAUUAGCGGGUAUUCGGUUAUAGGGUACUCGCUGAGAUAGGGUUGGGUUGAUGGGUACCCGUCCCACCCCACUUAUCAUUUAAUUUUUUUAAAAAAAAUUAUAUUAAUUUAAUUUUAUAUUUUACACAUUCAUCUAAGAUUUAAUAAAGAUUUUUUUCUCAAAAAAAGUCUCCCACCAAAAAACAAGCAUGCGAAGAGAAUACAAGAUAAAAGAAAAAAAAAAUAAAAGAAUUCAAAAUCAAUAAAAGUUUGAAUUAAGUAGCACAUUUUUUUAAAUAUAUGUUUCACAUUAAUUAAAUUCUUUUCUAUAAAACAUAAGAUUAUGACCUCUACAAAUGAGUUUUGUAAAUAAACUAUAGUAUCUCAUGUUUGUAAUGCAAUUUGUUUAGUGAAAUUACUUAUUUGGCUCUAAAAAUAUUGUCUCCGUUUGGAUUAGCUGUUUUUUGGGAUGUUUUUAAAAAUUUUUACUGUAACAGUGUAUAUCGGGCACCCACAGGUUUUUAAUUAUGAGAGCCUAAUCCACCUUGUAUUUUAGUGGGUACUCGACCAUUUUUUGAUCCGAUCAAAUAAUAUAAAUCGAGUAUUCUAAUUUUUGGAUUAGAUCGGAUUGGAUCGGAUCUAUCGACUUUUCGGGUUAAUAGAUAAAUUUGCUCACCCCUAUUAGGAGUAUGCAAUCGGAUUAAAUUAUUGGGAAAAUUGGAAAAAGGGUAGAGACGGAUUCAAAAAUUAUAAGAAGGGGGUAAGUUUUUGAUAUAUUGCUAUAGGGAAAAAUUUUAUUAUUUUUGAAAUCCUUAAAAAAAAAACAUGUUGAAAUUGAUAUGACCAAAUUACAGCAACCCCGAUAAAAAAUUUUAGAUUUUAAUUAUAUACACAUAUGCGCCCAAUAUAGUGCCAUGUAAAAGAUUGAGGAGGCUUGAGGUCGUAGAGGUUUUGAGUUUAAAUCCUUUCCCUUACUCCUUUUGACUUCUUAAAUUCCAUCGUUCCACUAUUGGGAUUAAAAAAAAGAAAAAAGAAAGGUUCAAAGUUUGAGAUUAAUUCUAAGAUGAAGUGAAAGGCAGGCCUCUCCCAAACUAGGGUUAAAUGCACUAAACCUCUUAAUGUUUAAGGUGAUUUGAAUUUUUUCCCCUGACAGUAUCUUUAUUGCUCAUUUUUCCCUCCCCAAAGCCACAUGAAUUUUUUUCCUUUAAAAAAAAAGGUUACAAUUUCUUAAUUUUUAUCCAUUCUUCUUCAUACUGCCCAAACUUCUCCUAUCAUCCAUAUUUUUAGUGGUGAAAUUUUUUUUUGAGAAAUCAAGAAAUAAAUUUCCAAAAUAUUCCACUUCUAAUUAAAAAAAAUCACCAAAUUAAAUAAAUUCAAAAUUUUGUUAUUAUCCAAAAUAUUCCUCCUCAAGUUAUGAACAUUAAUAAGUGAAGGUGAUAUAGAAAUAUGGUAAUACAUCCCUUAUAUGCAUUCUGUGGACAGUCAAAAACUUUGAUAACAAUUAAAAAAAAAGUUUUAAAUGGUACUCUUUUUUGUUAAUCAUUCUAUAAUUUCUUUCCACACGAAACGACUUAUGUCACAUUUUACAAUACAGAAUGUAUUCAGAUGCAAAAACUAGUAGUUGACCAAAUUCACAUUCAUAUACAUAGACCGGAGAUUAGUACUUUUUGCAAUGUGAUAUAUAUGAGAUAAAAAAAUAAUUGAAAAGAUAAAAUGAUAUGUUGAAAAAUGUGUCUGCGAUGAGCUGAGGCAAAAUGGACAACAUAUAAACAUUAUUAACUUGAGUUGACCCGAAACAAGAAACUGUUAUUUAAGCCGUAAGUUGAAUUGAACAAUUUACUUUCAACUCAUUCGAGAAUGCACGAAAAGGCUAGCGUUAAAUGACUUGAUUAACUGCAAUGUGGAGAGUAAAUUGGGGGGAUUUGAUCAAAACAAAUGUGUAAAGCCAAGAAGAGUAAAAGUUCAUUUACAUUAAAAUGAGAGAUUUGUGGAUCAUAAUACAAACGUUUGAUUACACUAUGAAUUUCAAGGUUUUUCUGUUUAUUGGAGCUAUUUUAAAGUUCUACCAUGGUAAAUGUGCCCUUAAUAGACUUUAAUCUGCAAACAACUUGCGUCAUAUUUAUUCUAUCUUCUGGCAAGUGCAUGGAGCAAGCCAAGCCAACUUUAAGCAAUGAAAUCAAACACUGCUCUAGUAAAUUGCAUUUUGUUUCUCCUAGUGGACUGCUUCUGUUAUUGGCUGCUGUAGUUCUUCUGUGAUCUUCACACAGAAGUACUGGAUCCACAAUGUCCAUCACACGCUCAGGAAUUGCCAUUUCAACGUAGGUAUGAAGAUCAAGGCCUCCAGUGAACAAAGGAUGUGUAGGCUUCUUCCCAGUCAUCAUCUCCAGCAAUAGGAUUCCGAAGCUGUAGACAUCUCCAUUACUUGAUACCCCGGCACCUAAGCCAUACUCUGCAUUAAUGUUGAAGCUUGUUAGACAGCCAAAGUAUGAAUUGUCAAAAAUAGCUCAGUUUUAAAAUUUGUUGUUUUGUAUAUGAUGUUGAAUGAACAUAGGUAAGAAAGAUUAAUUUAAAAAAAUCAGUCAGAUUUGUACUUUCUUACCUGGAGCUACAUAUCCAAUAUUUCCUCUGAUUCCAGCAGAGCUCGUUUCCGGCAAAUUUGGAGCUGAAUGAACAUAUUUUGCCAGCCCAAGAUCUCCAACAUGGGCUGUCAGAUCGCUGUCAAGGAGAAUAUUACUUGGUUUUAGAUCGCAAUGAACAAUCUGCUUGUGGCAAUGAUGAUGUAGAUAAUCAACGGCACAAGCCACAUCAAUAGCAACAUUAAUUCGCUGAAGAAGGUUUGGUAUAGGAAAAAUGUGCUGCUGAUGUUCAUCUGCUCGAUGCAACCAAGUUUCUAGACUGCCGUUGGGCAUGAACUCGUAGAUUACAGCUUUAAAAUCAUUCCCUUGGAAGUCCAGACCUGAGGAAGAACUUAUAAUCUUCACGAGGUUCCGAUGCCGGAUGUUUCUCAUUGCAUCACACUCAGCAAUAAAACUCUUGAAGGCUCCAUGGUGUUGAAGGUUAAAGACUUUGAUAGCCACCGACAAGUUUCCUCCUCCAGUCAGCACUCCUUUGUAUACGGAGCCAGAGCUACCAGCACCAAUUAGAUUUUCUGCAGAGAAACCAUUAGUAGCUUGAACAAGUUGUCUGUAGCUGACUCUCAGGAAGAGUCUACCUGAGAAGUUUGGUAAAUUUGGUUGGGUCCUCCUCCUUUUAAAUGACCGUAGUCGGAAAAUUGAGAUUGAGAUUACCACUAUCACCAGGAAGGAACUUGUAAUUACCACUGGCAUGAUGAACCGUAGUCGGAGAAGCUUCUUAUUUUUCUUUGACUCUCUUAGGGGCUGACACUUUGGUAGCUGUAGUUGGGGAAUGCCUCCACAGAGUCUUUUGUUCCCAACAACUGAUAUAGCACUAGCAUUUCCAAAAAUGCCUUGUGUUGGUAGCUCGCCCACAAAAUCAUUGAAGGACAAAUUCAGGGCCUUUAUGGACAUUCUUACUAAAAAUUGGGGGAUUGGUCCAGAAAAAUUGUUACUAGAAAGGUUAAGAUUUUGAAUACCUUUCAAAGAACUGAUAAAUUCUGGAAAAGAUCCCUGGAAAGAGUUACCAGCAAGGGAAAGGAUUUCAAGGCUACUACAACCACCAAAGGUCCCAGGAAGUUCACCUGACAGGUGAUUUUGUGAGAGAUCCAAUCCAGCUAAAAUUUUCAAGGUGCCAACCUCUGAUGGGAUUGUUCCAGAUAAAUGAUUCUGGGAAAGAUCUAAUGAAAUGGACAGGGAAGAUAUCCCAAAAAUCUCUUUUGGUAUCGUACCGCUCAAGUAGUUUUGAGAAAGUCCUAGGAGUAACAACUGCUUGCAGUUUCCAAGAGCUGGUGGAAUGGAUCCCCCCAGGUGGUUAUCAGCUAAAUAUAGUUCAUUCAACAGGGAGAGGUUUCCUACAGACUCUGGAAUUUCUCCUGACAAUUUAUUGGAAUGAAGAGACAGCCGCUGGACUUUAUGAAGAUAACCAAUUGUACUAGGAACCGUCCCUGUGAGUUGAUUACUUUCAAGAAAUAAAAGCUUUAAGCUGAUGAGAUUACCUACCGUUGAAGGAAUUUCUCCGUAUAUUUGGUUUCCACCAAGUACCAAGUAUUGGGAUGAUAAGUUACCGAUACUGUUGGGCAUGAUCCCCUUUAGUUGGUUGCCACCUAGGUCAAUUCCAAAUAAUUGGCUGCAGUUUGUCAUGGUACUGAGAAACUGCAAUCCAUCCAGUACUUCCCCACUUCCAAAAUUAUUAGCUGCUGCCAAUAGCCAAUGAAAAUUUAGCAGGCCUCCAAAAUCAACUGCUAUUCUGCCGCUGAAUCCAUUGUCUCCAAUUUCGAUUCGGCCUAGCUCAGAGGCAUUUGACAAAGAGGCUGGAAGUACCCCCCAGAACUGAUUGUCUCUCAACUGGAGAUACUCAAGGCGAGGAAGCAUGAGACCUAAUGCUGAAGGAAGAGUUCCAUGCAGCUGAUUACUUGACAGAGACAAAACCUCCAGCUGAGAGAGAUUAUAGAUAGAAACAGGGAUGUUACCAUUUAGUCUGUUUCCGCCAAAUGCAAUGAUUUUUAACGUUUUCAACUGACCUAAUACUUCGGGAAUUUUUCCCUCCAAAUGAUUUUCGGCCGCAGAUAGUAUACUCAGGGAAGUAAAAUUCCCCAUGGAAGGAGGGAUAAUUCCUGUUAGGUUAUUGUAGUGAAUCGCGAGGAAUUCAAGGUUCCUCAGGUAACCAAAUUCUGGUGGUAUUCUCCCAACUAGCCUGUUGAAGCCUAGGCUAAGUUGCAAAAGCUUGAAGCACUGGGAUAGAUUGCCUGGAAUUUCGCCUUCCAGGGAGUUCGAUGACAGAUUCAGUUCCUGCAGCCUGAAGAGAUUUCCAAACUGGGGCGGGAUUCCACCUUGGAAGGUGUUGUUACCUAGCAUCAACGUACGAAGAAAGCUGAGGUUUCCAAGAAAAGGUGACAAGAAGCCAACCAAGCCUCUGCUUUGAAGAUCUAUGCUGGUCACUCUUUUGUGCUUGCGACCGCAUAGAAUUCCCUUCCACGAGCAGAAAUCAGAGUCAUUCCAUGAGUUCAUAAUCCCAUAAGGGUCAUGUUGAAUUUUUGACUUGAAAUCCAAUAAAGCAACAGGAUCACCAUCACGAUCACGAUUACGUGCUUCUCUUUUGGCCAUGGUUUUUGUGGAAGCCGUGUCCAAAGGAAGAUUUUUGGCAUGCAACACCAAUACUGUCAGCAGUGCUAGCGCGAGACAAAUCCUUUCAGUUGCAUGAAUUGAGAUUAAAAAUCUUGCCAUUGUCCAGAGUGGAAUUGUGGAUGAGAUUCCCUCUCGAGUAGGAAAAUACUUGCAGUAGACUAGUGAAAUUUGAUAAUCAGUACAUAGGUUACUCCGUUUGUGCAAGGACAGAUUCAAGCAUUGAUAGAUUGAGGUUAGAUGCUAGUCAAAAUGCAUUAAGGGCUAGACUUGAGUCCCGGGAUUUGACCGCAGACUUAGAAAGCCACCUACAGACGCUUUACGCCCAAUCAUUCCGGAUAACGCUUGCAUUUUAGAGUGACCAGACUCCAGCUUAAGUUCUUUGUUUCUAAAUGAAAAGCUGUACAAUAAACCUUAGUAGACUCGGGACCAAUACAAUUGUAAACUAUUAAUUAGGUUUUUGCGUACAUUUGAUCCACAUCGGGACAAGUAUGAUUGACGUUUGAUACAAUUGGUACGAUUAUUAUACUUUUUACAAAAGUUAGCAUACGUUUACAAACGUGAUUGUAUUCAUAUACUAUACUAAUUUAAUGUACAUGAACACAUGUAUAUAGUAAAACAAUAUUCAUGCAUACUAAAUUAUAUAAAAUAUACACCGAUCAAAUAUGCGCAUGGAGAUCUCAACAUUACUUGUCCUCAAUUAUAUUUACUUGUUAUACCUUAUCGUGUCCAAUUACACUAUUCUUGGAGGAUGAGUGCAUGGGAUAUUUUAUUCAUCUAUACCGUUUUAAUUGUAUAGGAAGGAUUAUACAAUAAUUGUCCUCAAUGGGGAUCAACUUGGAAGCUUUACGAUGGAUUCAAUGGAUUUCUACCUUGUAUAUAAAUAAGAAGAAAAUCAAGUUACUGUAGCAAUCGAUCUUAGAUUUAAAUCUGAAUUUCCUAUACGUAUGCAUUCGAUUCAAACUGAGUGUCAAAAUGCUUUUGUGUUGUACAUAUUUAAUUUUUUUGUGUAUAAUUAUAUUAUAAUAUUAUACCGAAUAUAUGUAAAGUAUUUUAUUAAUGUACACUAUUUCUUUUUUUUUUUUUCACGAGUUCAAUAACAUAAAAUGUGAUUAUACGCCAAACCAUGUAACAAGUAUAAUGACCAAAUUGAAUUACACGGAACCAAAACCGCACUGGCACUCAUUCCGUCCAAUGCAGUGUCAUGUAAAGAGUCUUACUUUUGAAAUUGUCAUCAUCGUAAUGCAUACUAUUUAACCUUUGAUUUUUCUGAAAGGAACUCAAACAGUUAUGUGCUCCAUUGACUUGUAACUAUCAAGUUUGCAUACCAUCCUCCAAAGAAAUUGAAAGUUGACACUGCCAACCAAAUAAUCGAAUGGUUUUGGUUACAUUUGAUUCUUUUGGAAAGAGUUUAAAGGCCACACUCAAUUCAAUGAAAAUUUGACAUUUUGCAGCCAAUUAUUCUAAUGGUUUUGUUUGUAUCCCUGGACAAGAAUUUAUGCUAAGGCAUGGGCACUAAUGUGCUUGAGAUCCCACAUUGUAUGGUUUGUGAAAGGAAAACUCCAAAUUGCGUAGUCAUGUGGAGAAAAUUAAAAGUCGUUGGAGAGGUUGAUGCAAUUGUUAACUUAUAAUAUGGGCAAAGGUGGGAAAAGGGUAAUUUUUUGAAGAGGCAAAUUGGAUUGAACCUAAUGCAUACAGGAUACAACUGGUUUCUAGCCAAAUAAAGGUAAAGCGGAUGGCCAAAUUCUCAAAAAUUGGGAAAGAAAAAUGUUGUUAUUAGAAGGACAGUUCAUUGAUAAUUGCAGAACCAUUUCAGACAGCCAAAGUUUAAACAUAAAAUGUCAAAAACAAUUUAUAUCAAGGGAAAAUUUUCGUGUUUUUUAUAUGAUGUUGCAUAAUUAUAUGUACAAACAAUAAAGAAUCAAAUAUAUGUGUUCUUUCUUUCCUGGAGCCACAUAUGACAUAUCCUAUAGUUCCUCUGAUCCCAGCAGAGGUGCUUUCUAAUGAUCUGGGAGGUGAAUGAAGAUACUUUGACAGCCCAAAAUCUCCAACAUGGGCUAUCAGAUCACUGUCAAGAAAAUAUUGUUUGGUUUAAGAUCGCAAUGAGCAAUCUGCCUGUGGCAAUGAUGAUGUAGGUAAUCGAGGGCACAAGCCACAUCAAUAACAACAUUAAUUCUUUGAAGAAGGUUCAGUCUAUGAAACAUCUUCUGCUGAUCUUCUUCUGUUGGAUGCAACCAUUUUUCUAGACUCCCAUUAGGCAUGAACUCAUAGAUUAAAGCUCUAAAUUCAUUCCCUUGGAAAUCCAGACCGGAGGAAGAACUUACAAUCUUCACAAGGUUUCGAUGCCGGAUGUUUCUCAUUGCUUCACACUCAGCACUAAAACUCUUUAAAAGAUCCAUGGUGGAAAAGGUUAAAGGCUUUGAUUGCCACUGCUAAGUUUCCAGCUUCAGUCAGUGUUCCUUUAUAUACUGAGCCAGUGCUACCAACACCAAUUAAAGCUUAUUGCUUGAACAAAACUAAUAGUCUCAUGCUUAAGCAAAAGAACAAAAUAUACAGUUGAACUCCAUUAAAUUUGGCUAGUCUUGAACACUUUAAAUAGAAAUGUUGUUAAAUAUUAUGGGUUUCUACAUAAUAUCCGAGAUAUUUUACAUAUUGUUUGUAUCACAAACAAUACUACAAGUUUCUACCUAAAUAUAUAUCACAAACAAUAUAUAUAUAUAUAUAUAUAUAUAUAUAUAUAUAUAUAUAUAGUUAGUUAGUAUCACAAACACUUCUAACUACUUUUUUUCUUAAUAUUCUUAACUGUCCUUUUGGAUUAAUCUUUCCUACACUGACAGUGUAUACACUAUCAGCAUUGGAUGAAUGAUAACUAUGCAAAAUUUGAGUUUGAAAUUCAACUUUUGUACUCAUGUCAUGAAUCCAACGAUAAUAGUGUAUACACCGUCAGUGUAGGAAAGAUUUACUCCUGUCUUUUAAUUUCACAUACAUUACAUCAUAAAAAAUGCUAUAAUGUUAUUCCAAAUAAUAUUUUCUAAAAAUCUCCUAUCCAAACAUUUUCUUUACAUCUUCCACAUGAAUUCGUCCUGGUUGCAUUAGAUAAAUCCAAAAUCUUGUAAUUUUUCCUGUAAUUUGAUUAUUUGAUCAUCACAAUUUGUAUGUUUGAAUCAUCAAGAAAAAAUGGUGGUGAUUAGGACUGUUAACUAUUAACAUCAUAGGACUGGCGAUUGAUUACAAAGCUACAUCAUGGUGAAGAGUUUAGGUAGGGGGUUUUGAUCAAUCUACCUAUAUAUAUAUAUACACACAUAUGUAUAUUAAUCCCAAUAGGUUUCUUGAGACUAGUCCACUUGAACAAUGUCACUUCACCAAAAGUUUAGACGACGAUGUUUUGUUGCAACCAGAUCAUAAAUUAUUGGGAAAAUUGGAAAAAGGGCAGAGACGGAUUCGAAAAUUAUAAGAAGGGGGUAGGUUUUUGAUAUACUGUUAUAGGGAAAAAAUUUAUUAUUUUUGAAAUUCUUAAAAAAAAUACGUUGGAAUUGAAAUGACCAAAUUACGGCAACCCCCAUAAAAGAUUUUAGAUUUUAAUUAUCUACACAUAUGCCUCCAAUACAGUGUCAUGUAAAAGAUUGAGGAGGUUUGAGGUCUUAAAGGUUAUGAGUUUAAAUAGGAAUAGCAACGGGGCGGGUUUGGGGCGGGGACCCCGCUUCGCUGUCCAAUACUUCCCCCCACCCCUGCCUUGCCUCCCAUCCCCCGCUUCCCCCCACCUCGCCCCCACCCCGCCCUACUUUCGCCGUGGGAUUAAUAAAAAUUUGUCAUAUAAUUUCAUUGUAGUUAAAUUUUAGCAAAUGAUUAAGUACUAAAAUAUCAAUACAUUACUAAAUCGUUAUACAUUGUAAUUUAACAAUUGAAAUCUGUAAGAACAAUCAAACAAAAAUUAUUUGAAUACAAUCUAACAUGAUGAAACAAAUAAAACUAAAGUAGUCAAGUUUUCACUUUUGAAAUAAAUAUAAUCACUAAGUCUUUAUUGUAUUUUUUUUUGACAAAAAAUAUUAUUGUGUUAAGUGUAAUUAGAAAUUUAGUAUAAAUAUAUUAGUAAAUUUAGUAUAACUAAUUAAUAAUUUCUAUUAGUAGAUAUGUAUAAUUAUUAGUCUAAUUGAUAAUAUCAAUUGUAUUACAUAUAUUAAUAUACAUUAUAUAAUACUUAUAAUUAAUAACAUUAUUAUUAUAAGUUUGUAACUAAUUAAAUUAAAUAUUACAUACAUAUAUAUAUAUAUAUAUAUAUACACACACUAACGAGUGGGGGGCGAGGGAUGGGGCAGGGUGAUUAGCCUCCGCGGUUGCCAUCCCUAGGUUUGAAUCUUUCCCCUUAUUCCUUUCGACUUCUUAAAUUCUAGCCUUCCACUAUUGGGAUUAAAAAAAAAAAAGAAAGGGUCAAAGUUUUGAGAGUAAUUCUGGGAUGAAGUGAAAGGCAGGACCCUCUCAAACUAGGGUUAAAUGCACUAAACCUCUUAAUGUUUAGGGUGAUUUGAAUUUUUUCCCCCUACAUUAUCUUUAUUGCACUUUUUUCCCUCCCCUAAGCCACAUCAACUUUUUGCCUUAAAAAAAACGGUUCCAAUUUCUUUUUUUUUUUUUUAUCCAUUCUUCUUCAUACUGCCCAAACUUCUCCUAUCAUCCAUAUUUUUAGUGCUGAAAUUUUAUUUUCUUUUUUUUGAGAAAUCAAGAAAUAAAUUUCCAAAAUAUUCCACUUCUAUUAGAAAAAUCACCAAAUUAAAUAAAUUCAAAACUUUGCUAUUAUCCAAAAUAUUCCUCCUCAAAUUAUAAACAUUAAUAAGUGAAGGUGAUAUAGAAAUAUGGUAAUAUAUCCAUUAUAUGCAUUCCGUGGACAGUUAAAACUUUGAUAACAAUUAAAAAAAAAAGUUUUACAUGGUACUCUUUUUUGUUAAUCAUUCUAUAAUUUUUUCCACACGAAACGACUUAGGUCACAUUUUACAAUACAGAAUGUAUUCAGAUGCAAAACUAGUAGUUUACCAAAUUCACAUUCAUAUACAUAGACAGGAGAUUAUUUAAAAGAAUAACUGUAAUACUUUUUGGAAUAUGAUAUAUAUGAAAUAAAAAAAUAAUUAAAAAAAUAAAAUGAUAUGGUGAAAAAUGUGUCUGUGACGUAAGCAAACAAUUUUUUGACAAAUAAUUUCUAUCCAAACACCCCGGCAUUUUUCUUUCUUUCUUUCUUCUUUCCCCUAAACAUCUGGUUAUGCACGUAUGGAUUUAAUUUGGAAACUUGGAGCUUGAUCAACUUCAUCUUGAGCUCAUGCUAAGCCUUUUCUGCUGAUUUUCACCACUGUCAUGCAUCCCACCCUGCCACUGCUACAGAAACCAUCAAUUAUAGCUGAAUCUUAAUCCAAUGUCCAACAUUUUUCUAAGGCUCAUACUGUAUGGAUUGGAUCAUAAUGCAAUAGCAAGAUGAAAGACUGAAAUCUCUUCCUCUCUCCCAAAACAAAAACAACCUUCUUGUACUUCAAGGUUCCUCAGAUCAUUAAGCAAAAGGUCAGUCAUUGCUGCUUAAAGAUUGUCACACCUGAAGUUAAUUAGUUCACUGCCACACUAAUAAGAUGAGCUGAGGCAAAAUUGACAGCAUAUAGACAUUGUUAACUUGAGUUGACCCGAAACAAGAAACAGUUAUUUAAGCCGUAAGGUGAAUUGAACAAUUUACUUUCAACUCAUUCGAGAAUGUGCGAAAAGGCUAGUGUUAAAUGACUUGAUUAACUGCAAUGUGGAGAGUAAAUUGGGGGGAUUUGAUCAAAACAAAUGUGUAAAGCCAAGAAGAGUAAAAGUUCAUUUACAUCAAAAUGAGAGAUUUGUGGAUCAUAAUACAAACGUUUGAGUACACUAUGAAUUUCCAAGGUUUUUCUGUUUAUCGGAGCUAUUUUAAAGCUCUGCCAUGGUAAAUGUGUCCUUGAUAGAUUUUAAUCUGCAAACAACUUGCGUCAUAUUUAUUCUAUCUUCUGGCAAGUGCAUGGAGCAAGCCAAGCCAACUUUAAGCAAUGAAAUCAAACACUGCUCUAGUAAAUUGCAUUUUGUUUCUCCUAGUGGACUGCUUCUGUUAUUGGCUGCUGUAGUUCUUCUGUGAUCUUCACACAGAAGUACUGGAUCC
Molecule: long non-coding RNA, 16628 nt
Filed under: Coffea arabica (coffee)
Lineage: Eukaryota; Viridiplantae; Streptophyta; Magnoliopsida; Gentianales; Rubiaceae
Description: long non-coding RNA (CARA_LNC006930)
Source: RNAcentral